RNAcentral lists this ribosomal RNA (698 nucleotides) under uncultured bacterium. RNAcentral describes it as "bacterial SSU rRNA". It matches the Rfam family "Bacterial small subunit ribosomal RNA", at positions 57 to 771 of the family's 1533-position model. The record is from RNAcentral.
GCAGUCGACGGUGAUGAGGAGCUUGCUUCUCUGAUCAGUGGCGAACGGGUGAGUAACACGUGAGCAAUCUGCCCUUGACUCUGGGAUAAGCGUUGGAAACGACGUCUAAUACCGGAUACGACCUUUGGAGGCAUCUCUGGGGGUGGAAAGAAUUUUGGUCAAGGAUGAGCUCGCGGCCUAUCAGCUAGUUGGUGAGGUAAUGGCUCACCAAGGCGACGACGGGUAGCCGGCCUGAGAGGGUGACCGGCCACACUGGGACUGAGACACGGCCCAGACUCCUACGGGAGGCAGCAGUGGGGAAUAUUGCACAAUGGGCGAAAGCCUGAUGCAGCAACGCCGCGUGAGGGACGACGGCCUUCGGGUUGUAAACCUCUUUUAGUAGGGAAGAAGCGAAAGUGACGGUACCUGCAGAAAAAGCACCGGCUAACUACGUGCCAGCAGCCGCGGUAAUACGUAGGGUGCAAGCGUUGUCCGGAAUUAUUGGGCGUAAAGAGCUCGUAGGCGGUUUGUCGCGUCUGCUGUGAAAACCCGAGGCUCAACCUCGGGCCUGCAGUGGGUACGGGCAGACUAGAGUGCGGUAGGGGAGAUUGGAAUUCCUGGUGUAGCGGUGGAAUGCGCAGAUAUCAGGAGGAACACCAAUGGCGAAGGCAGAUCUCUGGGCCGUAACUGACGCUGAGGAGCGAAAGCAUGGGGAGCGA